Molecule: ribosomal RNA, 492 nt
Filed under: Enterobacter hormaechei
Lineage: Bacteria; Pseudomonadati; Pseudomonadota; Gammaproteobacteria; Enterobacterales; Enterobacteriaceae
Description: bacterial SSU rRNA
Rfam family: Bacterial small subunit ribosomal RNA
Source: RNAcentral
GAUUGAACGCUGGCGGCAGGCCUAACACAUGCAAGUCGAACGGUAACAGGAAGCAGCUUGCUGCUUYGCUGACGAGUGGCGGACGGGUGAGUAAUGUCUGGGAAACUGCCUGAUGGAGGGGGAUAACUACUGGAAACGGUAGCUAAUACCGCAUAACGUCGCAAGACCAAAGAGGGGGACCUUCGGGCCUCUUGCCAUCGGAUGUGCCCAGAUGGGAUUAGCUAGUAGGUGGGGUAACGGCUCACCUAGGCGACGAUCCCUAGCUGGUCUGAGAGGAUGACCAGCCACACUGGAACUGAGACACGGUCCAGACUCCUACGGGAGGCAGCAGUGGGGAAUAUUGCACAAUGGGCGCAAGCCUGAUGCAGCCAUGCCGCGUGUAUGAAGAAGGCCUUCGGGUUGUAAAGUACUUUCAGCGGGGAGGAAGGCGAUAAGGUUAAUAACCUUGUCGAUUGACGUUACCCGCAGAAGAAGCACCGGCUAACUCCGUGC